UAACCCUAGCCCCGAUCCACAACCCCAUGCCCCUCGCUCCUCCCUCCCUCGUCCGCCGCCACUCCCUCCCACCUCCUCCUCCUGCGCCCUAGGAGCCCCGCCGCCGACUGCUACUUCUCCACCGCCUCGCCUCUUCCUCCUCCUCGCCUUCCCAUCGCUCGGGCGCAGGCUGCUGUGGCCAAGCGCUUCGCGGGCGAACCCGUCUCCACCGCCUGCUCUGGGUUCGCGCGGGACGGGCUCCCCCGCGUGGCCGGCCUCGACGAGCACGACCUCGAUCCGGCCUCAGCCGGAGGACCUCGAGCCGAGGAGUGCGGCCUCGAUCGGGACUCGGCAUGUGGGGUGACGGCGGAGGAGGGGAAAGGAGGGGAGCAGCAACCAACAUCUUGGGCGGCGGUGGCUGGACUCCAUGAGCUGGCCGGCGACGGUGGCGGUGCUGGAUUCGAUCUGCAGGUGAGAGAGGGAGGUGUGGCUUCGAAUUGGAGAGGGACUCCACCGGCGUCGGCCCGCGCGAGGAUUGGUGCCGCUCUCCUCGUAGGCCCUCGCUCCAGGUCGCCGAGGAGGGGCUGUAGCCGAGUCUGCAUAGUUGAGGGUAGGGAGGGCUGAGGUGGGAGGGGAAGGAGAUGGUCAUGGAUCUACUCGAGAAGGUGAGAGGACGAAGACAGAGGGGGUGCUCGAGGUGGUCAAGGCGGAGCAGCAGAGGACGGCUCGUCCACGAGCUCAAGUUUAAGGCGGACGGCGGCCUCAACGGGUGGGUGACGACAUCUACACCUGGUUCCACCUUGCUGUGGCAAAAUAGGAGGCCAUUCGUGCAGUCAUGCAGCGGAUGGAGUCCUCGGCAGGUGGGUGAUGGAGGCUGUAGAUGAUGCACGAUGACGGCUCCCAGCGAGGUUCUAUUAAAUGUGAACAUGUUUGCGUCAAGGCUUUGUUGAUGGUUGAAGAAGAAAUCAAGGUCGCCAAAACUCGGGUGCUGCUGAAUUGCUAGAUUACUCCACUGCAAAAAACGCUGGACAGUGGCAAGAAGGAAGAGCUCGGGCCACCCGCGAUGCCAGGCCGCCGGCCCUCCUCCCUCAAGCUCAAGGCGGCGAAGAGAUGGUUGAGCUGGUGUUGCAGCUCCGCAGAAUGCAGACAAUUAAAUGAUUCUGCCCGUGCUAUCAAAGUGGCCUCUCAGACUGAAGAAGGUGCCACUGCUGAAAAUAUUGUUCAGCCUGCAUCCGUGCUAAAUGUUGGAGAGGAAACUGAAAGUGCAUCUGCUGAGGAUCCAAAGAACAUGCUUCCUGACCCCUCUAAGACCAAAAGAACAGGCAAUGCCGCCAAGGGAGUUGGCGCACCAAAGAAAGCGAGGCAGUAGUUCUUCCAUGGAGCACUUCUUCCAUGCCGUUAUCUAGAUAUGUACAUACGGUAUCUUCUAUAUUCUGCUUGCUUAUCAAGCGAAGUCUAUGCUGGAAGGGUAUCAUGCUGACCAUUAAUUGAAUUUCUCUUACAGAAACCAAUAUUAAUUUAUUCAGAGAACAUCCUUAUUUUUAUUUGUGAGAUAAUUAAAAAAGAUGUUUAUCUUUCCGAGCGACAUCGGACAUCCUAUAAUUUUGAGCACCGCCUCGAAGCAACCAGAAAUAGUUUCUGGUAGACUUUGGUCAAUGUAUCCUGGCCUGCAUGCUUUGGUUGUUACGAAAACAGCCACCUUUUGUUUCGCAUCAAUGAGACCAAUAUCUUUCCCCUUUCGGAGAACUCCGAGCAAGCUAUAUAUAAACUUUAGUCUUCCCCUGCUGCUUCUAUGGUGAAAAGUACUGUGUAAUGUAGUCUAUCAUCUUUAGAUUAUAUUGUUCUCUUUGUAGUGAAAAGCGGUUUAUCACCGCUUAUUGUAUAUAUAUGUGAAGAACUCUUCUGCUACUGUUUCCUGAAAACUAUGACUCAAGAAACAAGCUUCCUUUUAUGCAUGCUUUUGCUUCAAUGCUUUCAUCAGAGCUUCCCCCUGAUCACGUCUUCCGAUCACAGUGUAUGCAAUAAAUUAAAAGCAAUUACAUUCCUGUUUAUUUUACAAACGCUCUUCAACAACAACUACAUCUGCAGAAAGUCAAGAUUACUUUCCUACAUGACUUAGUGCAUCGUUUUCAAUCUUAUGUGCUCACUACAUAUAGUAUAUGAGCUAUUCUUUUCAUGCAACAAAUAUAUUAAUGCAUUCUCUCACAAUAAUUGGCUUACAUUCGGCCUUUGCGCCAUUGGCGCAACGAGUCAUCUAGUAUAUGAAAACAGCGUGGAGAGAAGCCAACCUGGAGCGUGUCGUGACAUCUUACUUAGCUCUGCUGGUGCUUUGCAGAUUUGGUGUUGCCGUAAGGAUGUAAUUUCCGAGCAUAAGCUGCGCGUUUCUCCUUUACAGACUGUUCAUAAAGCCGCUGCGUUGCUCUUGCAGUGGUUGCCUCUCUUAUACAGGCAAAGCGUAAAGACGCGCUGAUGGUGUUGAAAGGAAAGCUUCAGUCCUUAUGUUUUGUGAGUCUUUGUUGCGCCUGCGUGCGCCGGAGGCGGAUGCUUGAUGCAAGUGUGCCUGGGAACCCUGUAUGUGUCUUGGAUGUUUGGUUCUCUCGGGCCUUCGUUGGUCUGUAAGAGUUGACGUUGGGUACCCGCUCAUUGCCCAAGCUUAAACCUUUGCUUUUUAUAAAGGAGGGCCUGAUGGCCUUUCUUCUAAAAAGUGCUUUGCAAAUUGUGGAUUCUUUGCUGCAGCCGGAGACUAAUGUCUCCUUGCACUCCGUUCCCCUUCUGUGGAAUCUUUGGAAGUCGCGCAAUGCUGUCGUUGCUGGAGUGCCUGGCUCCUCUGCCUGCUGCGGUCUCCACUUCAGCACUGCGCUAGGAGCAGGCAAACUGGUAUCAUUAUGUACUGAUCACUGUAUAAAACAAUGUAUUGAUCAGGAGCCAUCUGAAGAUUUUCUGAAGAUCAACAUCGAUGGCUCCUGCCAGGAGACAAGUACAGGGGCUGCUGGGGCUUCUGCGCCCGUGGUCCAUCUAGGGAUGUAAAUGGCAAAUAGAUGGUGUCUGCAAGUCCCGUUUAGUUAGCUUUACCUAGCUCCAUAGUUCAUUUUCGCAGAAAAUAAAAUAAAAUUUUAAAUUGUUCGAUUAUAUAGUGGGUUUAAACGGGAUUAAAUGGGACCCGGUUGACAUCCCUGGGUCCAUCUGCCAGGCUCCCGUCUAAUUCAUCGUUUGCUCGAGGCUCUCCACGUGGACAUGA
RNA transcript from Triticum dicoccoides, 3217 nucleotides. RefSeq lists it as uncharacterized. The transcript has 9 exons. The record is from RefSeq and is a predicted model, not a curated record. NCBI's taxonomy places the organism in Eukaryota, Viridiplantae, Streptophyta, Magnoliopsida, Poales, Poaceae.